AACGAACGCUGGCGGCAUGCCUAACACAUGCAAGUCGAACGAGACCUUCGGGUCUAGUGGCGCACGGGUGCGUAACGCGUGGGAACCUGCCCUUAGGUUCGGAAUAACUCCCCGAAAGGGGUGCUAAUACCGGAUAAUGUCUUCGGACCAAAGAUUUAUCGCCUUUGGAUGGGCCCGCGUUGGAUUAGCUAGUUGGUAGGGUAAAAGCCUACCAAGGCGACGAUCCAUAGCUGGUCUGAGAGGAUGAUCAGCCACACUGGGACUGAGACACGGCCCAGACUCCUACGGGAGGCAGCAGUGGGGAAUAUUGGACAAUGGGCGAAAGCCUGAUACAGCAAUGCCGCGUGAGUGAUGAAGGCCUUAGGGUUGUAAAGCUCUUUUACCCGGGAUGAUAAUGACAGUACCGGGAGAAUAAGCACCGACUAACUCCGUG
RNAcentral lists this ribosomal RNA (433 nucleotides) under uncultured bacterium. Its description in RNAcentral is "partial 16S ribosomal RNA". It matches the Rfam family "Bacterial small subunit ribosomal RNA", at positions 29 to 507 of the family's 1533-position model. The record is from RNAcentral.